UUUAACAUCAAAGAUAAGUAAAGAUUUAGAGUUUCUUUACCCUUGGAGCUCAUCCUUGUUUACACAAGGGAUUCACCCAAGUGGAGAGCCUUCAAGCCAUACUACAUCUCACCAAUCCAUACACUUUCAUCUCUUAGCCGUGCAAAUCCAUUCCAUCCAUAUAUCCAUACACAUCCUAGACACUUGUGCUACAACAAGGUUGUGAAAACAAAGGUCCUUGGCGUUUCAAGCUUGGAACUUUGGAGCGUUUUAGGUGUACUUCAUUCUUGCUUUCAAUGUCUACUUUGUUAUUUUCUAAUUUUGUUGCAAUUAUGAGU
RNAcentral lists this long non-coding RNA (317 nucleotides) under Malus domestica (apple). RNAcentral's name for it is "long non-coding RNA (MDOM_LNC018501)". Lineage: Eukaryota; Viridiplantae; Streptophyta; Magnoliopsida; Rosales; Rosaceae. The record is from RNAcentral.